CAUAGGCAGUCUAAUGUAUCUUAUGAGUUGCACUAGACCUGAUAUUGCUUUCACUGUAAGGAGUUUAAGCAGAUUUACAAGCAAUCCAGGAGAAAAACACUGGAAAACAAUUGUAAGGGUAUUGAAAUAUCUCAGAUAUACUCGAAACUAUGGAUUGCAUUAUUCUAUAGAUCCUGCUGUGUUAGAAGGAUUCUCUGAUGCCAGUUGGAUAUAUGAUAUUUAAUAUACCAAAGGCACA
Molecule: long non-coding RNA, 238 nt
Organism: Hibiscus syriacus
Lineage: Eukaryota; Viridiplantae; Streptophyta; Magnoliopsida; Malvales; Malvaceae
Exons: 3
Source: RefSeq, a predicted model, not a curated record